This 404-nucleotide ribosomal RNA is filed under the name uncultured bacterium. Its description in RNAcentral is "bacterial SSU rRNA". It matches the Rfam family "Bacterial small subunit ribosomal RNA", at positions 29 to 448 of the family's 1533-position model. The record is from RNAcentral.
AACGAACGCUGGCGGCAGGCCUCAUACAUGCAAGUCGAGCGAGAAACCUUCCUUCGGGAAGGCGGACAGCGGCAGACGGGUGAGUAACGCGUGGGAACGUACCGUUUGGUUCGGAACAACUCCGGGAAACUGGAGCUAAUACCGGAUAAGCCCUCAGGGGGAAAGAUUUAUCGCCGAACGAUCGGCCCGCGUCUGAUUAGCUAGUUGGUGAGGUAACGGCUCACCAAGGCUGCGAUCAGUAGCUGGUCUGAGAGGAUGAUCAGCCACACUGGGACUGAGACACGGCCCAGACUCCUACGGGAGGCAGCAGUAGGGAAUAUUGGACAAUGGGCGAAAGCCUGAUCCAGCCAUGCCGCGUGAGUGACGAAGGCCUUAGGGUUGUAAAGCUCUUUCGGCGGGGACGA